CGUGAACAUGCAGAAAAAUGGAGACGUGUGAUAUUCAUGUUCAAAUGCGAUUCAUGUUCAAAUGAUUAGCAGAAAGAUAAUCAAUUCGAGGCAAUUGAUGUCAGGUCAGAACCGACUACCCUAUUAAUACAUACACAUGGUUAUUUUCAUGAUAUCACUCAUGAAUACAGCAACAAUGUUGCGAUAGAGAGUGAGGAACAAUAUUGCGUUCAUUGAAUGAAUGCCUCAUGUAAUCGACAGGGUAGUGGUGUCUCAAGGGCAAAUAAUAUACAGUAGCCUAAUAAUCACUAUGCAAAUUGCUUCACAGACAGUGAAAUUCACUACUUUUUUCAAGUAAUUUUAACAUUGAUGAAGAUUAUAGCAAUGCUUGCAAGUAGCAACAAGAAAAACUGCUUUUUUUCCAGAUAGAAGUUCAUGUGGAUAUCUUGAUUUGACUUUUGAACUUGGUCUCAUGUGCUAUGACACAAUCAACACAGAGACUGAGAUGUCUGCAGCAGAAAUUGAGGCCUGUGUCUACUCCUAUUCUUCACUUGAAGAGGAAGAGAUAUGCCAGUACUAUGGCAGUUCCGGCUCUGAUCAUCCCACUGAACCACAUCCAGACAUUGACAUGUUCUGACAUGGCUUCUUAAUUGAUUUGAGGAAGGUCUUGGAGCACCUUAUGGAGGACAAUUAUGACUGGCCAUUAUGACUGGCCUCAUACUGGCUGCCAAUAUGUUUGCAAUUGCUGCUCUGCUACUUGAGGUGUCUGCAUAAGCCUCUGGAAUCAGUUCAAUUGCCCAGGGGGUUUGAACAAAGGAUCCAAUUCCGGAAAGUUGUAUUCCUGCUCGUAAUGCUGGUGAGUUACCGCCGCUCUGAUAUCCAAAAGUUAUUUCCGUCUGUAUGUAAUAACACAAAAACGUUUCUGGGCUAAUAAUGUAAGAAAUAACACAUAAAAAACUAAAAACCGCAAAGUUUGAAUUCUUGUUGUGGUAAACAUCUGUAUUCUGCUCCCAACUGGCACAGCGGUCUAAGGCACUGCAUCUCAGUGCUAGAGGCAUCACUACAGAUCCUGGUUUGAUUCCAGGCUGUAUCACAACCAGCCGUGAUUGCGAGACCCAUAGGGUGGCGCACAAUUGGCCCAGUGUCGUCCGGGUUAGAGUUUGGCUGUGGUAGGCCGUCAUUGUAAAUAAGAAUUUGUUCUUAACUGACUUGCCUAGUUAAAAUAGUAUAUAUACGUUUUCCAGGGACUGACAAGUGUAUAUUACAUGAAACAAACAAACACAUAGAACACCUGAAUAUUAAAGGUGAGAACAAUUCUUCUUUCUUGGCGUACACAAUAUCUGCCUGUCUAGUUGAAGACAAAUAACACAUAGACAGUUAAUGAUAUUGACUUUGCUCUGUGUCAGACCUUUACUUCUUCCUCCUGGCACCCACUCUAUGCUACCAGUGAGACUUCCCCUUGACCCCCAGGGUCCAAAUCAACGUCCUUUGUGAGAGGCUGGUAAAAAUGGUGAGAUGAGGGCCACACUAUUAUCCACCCUCUUAAUUUUUGCCUCUUCUUUCAGGUGGUUCUUACUCAAAUGAUGGUGGUAAUCGUGCAGCAGGUGAUAUGUUUAUGUAUUAAAUGCAUGUGUUUGUACUGUGAUUGAAUAACUGUGAUCCUCAACACAGGGGCCCCACAAGUAUGUGUGCUCAGCCCCCUCUUGAACUCCCUGUUCAACCAUGACUGCGUGGCCAAGCACACCUCCAACUCAAUUAUCAAGUUUGCAGAUGACACAACGGUAGUAGGCCUGAUUACCAACAAUGACGAGACAUGCGCAAUAGCGCCUCUUCAACCUCAGGAGGCUGAAGAAAUUCAGCUUGGCCCCUAAGACCCUCACAAACUUUUACAGAUGCACCAUGAAGAGCAACCUGUCAGGCUGUAUCACUGUCUGAUACGGCAACUGCACCACCCGCAACCGCAGGGCUCUCCAGAGGGUGGUGUCGUCUGCCCAACGCAUCACCGGGGGCACACUGCCUGCUCUCCAGGACACCUACAGCACCCAAUGUCACAGGAAGGACAAAAAGAUCAUCAAGGACAUCAACCACCCGAGACACGGCCUGUUCACCCCGCUAUCAUCCAGAAGGUGAGGUCAGUACAGGUGCAUCAAAGCUGGGACCAAGAGACUGAAUAACAGCUUCUAUCUCAAGGCCAUCAGACUGUUAAAUAGUCAUCACUAGCUGGCCUCCACCCAGUACCCUGUAGUGAACUUAGACACUGUCACUAGCCGGCUACCACCCGGUUACUCAAACCUGCACCUUGAGGCUGCUGCCCUAUGUACAUAGACAUAGAAUCACUGGUCACUUUAAUAAUGGAACACUGGUCAGUGGUCACUAAUAAUGUUUACAUAUUGUUUUACUCAUUUCAUAUGUAUACUGUAUUCUAGUCAAUGUCAUCCUAUUUAACUAUUGCUGUAUAUACUAUAAUAUCCUAUGUAUUCUACAGAUACACUAAAUAUUCUAUCCACGUACAGUCCAUAAUGUCUUUAAUGUCUAUAAAUUCCAGCACAUAUAUAUAUAUUUAUACUCCAGAUUCCGACAUUGCUCAUCCUAAUAUUUAUAUAUUUCUUAAUUCCAUUCUUUUACUUUUAGAUCUGUGUGUAUUAUUGUGAAUUGUUAGAUAUUACUCAACUGCUGGAGCUAGGAACACAAGCAUUUCGCUACAACCGCAAUAACAUCUGUGUAUGUGUAUGCAACCAAUAGAAUUUGAUUUGAUUUAUGUAUUAACAUUUUGUUUGUUUUGUUGUGCCAGUUAUGUCAUAUCUCUGCCUUUGCACAACUGUCAUCUAGGGAUCUUCAUCAUGAUGCUCUUUGAGCUCCUGGUAGCUAUUUAACUUGGACACUAUUUCAGGGGUAACUAUGGCAGUGGGCUGGUGUGGCUGUGCUUGCUACUGGGUCCUUCUCUGGCUAUGAUUAUCUAUUUCCACGACCACUACAUGAGUCACCAUGGCCAACAUCCUCCUGGACUGUCCGCUGCUGACUGUUUGUCAUGAUCACUCACUUAUACUGACUUUGGAUAGGCUCCAGCACUUUUUGAUAUCUUUGAAUGACUACUGUCCAGUUUAGCAUUCGUCCAUUUGUAGGAAGUCAUCACAGCCUUAAUUUUUAUUUUUUAUUUUAGUUGAAAGACCAACAAAAUCUACAGAACAGCUAUUCACAAUUAUUUUUUAUUUGAAUCUUUGGAGCCUGUGUCCUGUCAUAUUGUGACUCAAUCACACAUGAAAGAUAGGGCUGCUUAUUCACUGUUCACAAGUCACCCAACGUUUACUGUAGGUUUAUGGAUCAUAGCCAACUGUUUUCAGACUACUGGUAUCUAACUGCCUGGUGAAAACUAUUGGGAAACCACACCAUGUUGAGUUCAAGCACAGAAUGAAUUAUACAGUGUAGCUUCCAAUUGAAUCGUGCUGUUAAUUCUUUACUGGGCAACCACACCAUGUUGAAUUCACACACAGUGUGAACGGAGUGAAAUACAGUAUAUAGCUGAAUUGUACUUGAUACUUUGGCAAGCUUAUAAAGCUAUAAGAAAUAUGAUAGUUGUGGUGUGCUUGCCCUCUUACCGAGAUUUCAUAAACUGUCAGGACUUUCUAGGAAGAUAAUUUCUAUUGUAUUUAUAUAUUGUUUUGACUUUAUUUCAGAUAGUUUGUGUAUUUGUGAUUAUCUUUCCAGUACUUGUUCUCCUUUUUGUCACAUAUAGGUUUGCCGAUAAAGGGGGGCAAAUGUACUUUUAAAUAAACAUGC
Molecule: long non-coding RNA, 3756 nt
Filed under: Salmo salar (Atlantic salmon)
Lineage: Eukaryota; Metazoa; Chordata; Actinopteri; Salmoniformes; Salmonidae
Description: lncRNA (ENSSSAG00000086208.1)
Source: RNAcentral